GAUGAACGCUAGCUACAGGCUUAACACAUGCAAGUCGCGGGGCAGCAUGGGGGUUGCUUGCAACCCCUGAUGGCGACCGGCGCACGGGUGAGUAACGCGUAUCCAACCUGCCCUUCACCACGGGAUAACCCGGCGAAAGUCGGACUAAUACCGUAUGUUGUCCAUUGACGGCAUCCGAUUUGGACGAAGGGCUUGGCGGUGAAAGGAGGGGGAUGCGUCCGAUUAGCUUGACGGCGGGGUAACGGCCCACCGUGGCUACGAUCGGGAGGGGUUCUGAGAGGAAGGUCCCCCACACUGGAACUGAGACACGGUCCAGACUCCUACGGGAGGCAGCAGUGAGGAAUAUUGGGCAAUGGGCGUAAGCCUGAACCAGCCAAGUAGCGUGCAGGAGGACGGCCCUAUGGGUUGUAAACUGCUUUUAUGCGGGGAUAAAGUGGCCCACGUGUGGGCUUUUGCAGGUACCGCAUGAAUAAGGACCGGCUAAUUCCGUG
Molecule: ribosomal RNA, 491 nt
Filed under: uncultured bacterium
Lineage: Bacteria
Description: partial 16S ribosomal RNA
Rfam family: Bacterial small subunit ribosomal RNA
Source: RNAcentral